This 1115-nucleotide ribosomal RNA is filed under the name uncultured archaeon. RNAcentral describes it as "bacterial SSU rRNA". It matches the Rfam family "Archaeal small subunit ribosomal RNA", at positions 329 to 1445 of the family's 1478-position model. The record is from RNAcentral.
GGCGCAGCAGGCGAGAAAACUUUGCAAUGUGCGAAAGCACGACAAGGUUAAUCCGAGUGGUUUCUGCUAAAGGAACCUUUUGUCGGUCCUAGAAACACCGAUGAAUAAGGGGUGGGCAAGUUCUGGUGUCAGCCGCCGCGGUAAAACCAGCACCUCAAGUGGUCAGGAUGAUUAUUGGGCCUAAAGCAUCCGUAGCCGGCUCUGUAAGUUUUCGGUUAAAUCUGUACGCUCAACGUACAGGCUGCCGGGAAUACUGCAGAGCUAGGGAGUGGGAGAGGUAGACGGUACUCGGUAGGAAGGGGUAAAAUCCUUUGAUCUAUUGAUGACCACCUGUGGCGAAGGCGGUCUACCAGAACACGUCCGACGGUGAGGGAUGAAAGCUGGGGGAGCAAACCGGAUUAGAUACCCGGGUAGUCCCAGCUGUAAACUAUGCAAACUCAGUGAUGCAUUGACUUGUGGUCAAUGCAGUGCUGCAGGGAAGCCGUUAAGUUUGCCGCCUGGGAAGUACGUACGCAAGUAUGAAACUUAAAGGAAUUGGCGGGGGAGCACCACAAGGGGUGAAGCCUGCGGUUCAAUUGGAGUCAACGCCAGAAAUCUUACCCGGAGAGACAGCAGAAUGAAGGUCAAGCUGAAGACUUUACCAGACAAGCUGAGAGGUGGUGCAUGGCCGUCGCCAGCUCGUGCCGUGAGAUGUCCUGUUAAGUCAGGUAACGAGCGAGAUCCCUGCCUCUAGUUGCCACCAUUACUCUCAGGAGUAGUGGGGCGAAUUAGCGGGACCGCCGCAGUUAAUGCGGAGGAAGGAAGGGGCCACGGCAGGUCAGUAUGCCCCGAAACUCUGGGGCCACACGCGGGCUGCAAUGGUAACGACAAUGGGUUUCAAAUCCGAAAGGAUGAGGUAAUCCUCAAACGUUACCACAGUUAUGACUGAGGGCUGCAACUCGCCCUCACGAAUAUGGAAUCCCUAGUAACUGCGUGUCAUUAUCGCGCGGUGAAUACGUCCCUGCUCCUUGCACACACCGCCCGUCGUUUCAUUGAAGUGAGCUCUUAGCGAGGUGACGUCUGAUUGGCGUUAUCGAACUUGGGGUUCGUGACAAGGGAAAAGUCGUAACAAGGUA